This is a long non-coding RNA of Entelurus aequoreus (snake pipefish), 326 nucleotides long. RefSeq lists it as uncharacterized. The record is from RefSeq and is a predicted model, not a curated record. Lineage: Eukaryota; Metazoa; Chordata; Actinopteri; Syngnathiformes; Syngnathidae. The transcript has 3 exons.
CCUUGUUUGCAUUGCGCAACAGUGACAACAUUUUCUACCUGCUUCCAUGCAAACCCUAACGCCAUCGAUACCGGCGUUGCCUUUGUCGCCCUGAUGGAACAGCACAUUGAAUGAAGGGUCUGAGAAAAGAGUAUCAACAUGCUCUACCUUCCGUCCAGGCAGUCCAUUCAGGCCAGGACUCCCAGUCCGUCCCGGGAAGCCCCGGAAUCCCUUGUCUCCCUUCACGCCUUUAUCUCCUGGUGAUCCUACGUCUCCUGCAUCCCCCUGAGAAACCAGAAGUGAAAUAUGCAUGAUGAUGUAAAGACUUGAGGAGCAUAAAAGUACCU